AGGGGUAUAGCCAAGCUGGUAAGGCAAUAGAUUCUGGCUCUAUGACGCGCAGGUUCGAAUCCUGCUACCCCCGCCA
RNAcentral lists this transfer RNA (76 nucleotides) under Anaerofustis stercorihominis. RNAcentral describes it as "tRNA-Gln". It matches the Rfam family "tRNA". Rfam says of the family: Transfer RNA (tRNA) molecules are approximately 80 nucleotides in length. Lineage: Bacteria; Bacillati; Bacillota; Clostridia; Eubacteriales; Eubacteriaceae. The record is from RNAcentral.